Molecule: ribosomal RNA, 253 nt
Filed under: uncultured bacterium
Lineage: Bacteria
Description: partial 16S ribosomal RNA
Rfam family: Bacterial small subunit ribosomal RNA
Source: RNAcentral
UACGGGGGGGGCAAGCGUUGUUCGGAAUUACUGGGCGUAAAGGGCUCGUAGGUGGCCAACUAAGUCAGACGUGAAAUCCCCAGGCUUAACCUGGGAACUGCGUCUGAUACUGGAUGGCUUGAAUUCGGGAGAGGGAUGCAGAAUUCCAGGUGUAGCGGUGAAAUGCGUAGAUAUCUGGAGGACUGCCGCUGGCGAACUCGGCAUCCUGGACCGCGCUUGACACUGAUGAGCGCAAUCCAGGGGAGCAAACGGG